CGCUUACCACUUUGUGAUUCAUGACUGGGGUGAAGUCGUAACAAGGUAACCGUAGGGGAACCUGCGGUUGGAUCACCUCCUUACCUGAAAGAA
This 93-nucleotide ribosomal RNA is filed under the name Klebsiella oxytoca. Its description in RNAcentral is "partial 16S ribosomal RNA". The stretch from base 1 to 83 matches the Rfam family "Bacterial small subunit ribosomal RNA", at positions 1451 to 1533 of the family's 1533-position model. Lineage: Bacteria; Pseudomonadati; Pseudomonadota; Gammaproteobacteria; Enterobacterales; Enterobacteriaceae. The record is from RNAcentral. RNAcentral also lists the same sequence under 10 other names.